This 433-nucleotide ribosomal RNA is filed under the name uncultured soil bacterium. Its description in RNAcentral is "bacterial SSU rRNA". It matches the Rfam family "Bacterial small subunit ribosomal RNA", at positions 26 to 478 of the family's 1533-position model. The record is from RNAcentral.
AGAACGAACGCUGGCGGCAUGCCUAAUACAUGCAAGUCGAACGAACUCUUCGGAGUUAGUGGCGCACGGGCGCGUAACGCGUGGGAAUCUGCCCCUUGGUUCGGAAUAACAGUUGGAAACGACUGCUAAUACCGGAUGAUGACGAAAGUCCAAAGAUUUAUCGCCAAGGGAUGUGCCCGCGUAGGAUUAGCUAGUUGGUGAGGUAAAGGCUCACCAAGGCAACGAUCCUUAGCUGGUCUGAGAGGAUGAUCAGCCACACUGGGACUGAGACACGGCCCAGACUCCUACGGGAGGCAGCAGUAGGGAAUAUUGGACAAGUGGGCGAAAGCCUGAUCCAGCAAUGCCGCGUGAGUGAUAGAAGCCGUUAGGGUUAGUAAAGCUUCUUUACCGAGUAUGAUAAUGACAGUAGACGGAAGAACUAACGCCCCGGUAC